This 512-nucleotide ribosomal RNA is filed under the name Thermocyclops sp. 1 CYT-2011. RNAcentral describes it as "eukaryotic LSU rRNA". The stretch from base 300 to 512 matches the Rfam family "Eukaryotic large subunit ribosomal RNA", at positions 1 to 204 of the family's 3401-position model. Lineage: Eukaryota; Metazoa; Arthropoda; Copepoda; Cyclopoida; Cyclopidae. The record is from RNAcentral.
UAACUGCGCGUCGGAAUGUGAACUGCAGGACAUAUGAGCAUCGACACUUUGAACGCAUAUUGCGGGCGCUGGCUCGUCCACCGCCCAUGUCUGGCUCAGGGUCGGUUUUGCAUCCUUCCCAGGUGAAUUCCUGGGCAUUGGGCUCUCGCUUUGCCUUUCUGGCUCUGCGUGGCUUCAAGUUGCGAGCGUGUCUGCCUCUGACAAACUGCUCUGACUCUUGGGCUCGUCCCGGGUCUGGCAAGUCGGCGGCGACUCGUGCUGCUGCCGAAUCUAAUUGGCGGCGGCGACCACUCAAAUUUCGACCUGAGAGCAGGCAAGGUGACCCGCCAAAUUUAAGCAUAUUAAUAAGCGGAGGAAAAGAAAACAACCGUGAUGCCCUUAGUAAUGGCGAAUGAAACGGGCAGAGCCCAGCACCGAACCGCCGGCCUCCGGUCGCGUGGAAUGUGGUGUUUGGGGGAGCCUCCUCGCGACGUUCUGAUCCGUCCAAGUCCACCUUGACUGGGGCCACGGCC